Long non-coding RNA from Nicotiana tabacum (common tobacco), 1190 nucleotides. RefSeq lists it as uncharacterized. NCBI's taxonomy places the organism in Eukaryota, Viridiplantae, Streptophyta, Magnoliopsida, Solanales, Solanaceae. The record is from RefSeq and is a predicted model, not a curated record.
CACAAAACCCCCCAAGCAACAAUCCAAACCCCCAUUAUCACUUUCCUACCAACUGUUAUUUUUUUAAGAUAUGACACCACAUCGUUUUUAUCUUCUAUGUUUGUGAUACCCUGCUUGGAGUCUUUGCAAGACUGUUAUGGCUCAUCUCUCUGAUCUACUGCUUCAAAAUAUCUUCAUGCUUAAGGUUCAUGGGUUGCCCAAAUAUGUUCUGUAUCUCCAGUUUUAACCUCUUUCUCACAUUAUCCGACCAUAUAUGUCAAUUUCACAGCGUCCCUUGUUCUUUGUAUUUAGCUUUGCUUGAACAGUUCAGAAGGAGGUAAUGUACUUUUGAAUUUACAGAUUUUGCUAUUUAGAGAAUGUGUGCCUCCACCUUCAGUUGGAAUGGAUGAUAUUCCGUGGAUUGCUUUCUGCACAGUUUUGGCCUUAAUCUUCCAUUUGUACAUGUAUAUAUCAAUGCUAUUUAGAGAAUGUGUGCCUCCACCUUCAGUUGGAAUGGAUGAUAUUCCGUGGAUUGCUUUCUGCACAGUUUUGGCCUUAAUCUUCCAUUUGUACAUGUAUAUAUCAAUGCUAUUUAGAGAAUGUGUGCCUCCACCUUCAGUUGGAAUGGAUGAUAUUCCGUGGAUUGCUUUCUGCACAGUUUUGGCCUUAAUCUUCCAUUUGUACAUGUAUAUAUCAGUGAGUUUGCAUCCACCAUUUAAUCAGUAAUUGUCGCUGUAGUGUUAAAAGGCACGCAGCCUAGAGCAUGUCUCUUUCAUUUUAUCAUCUGCUUGUAUAUUUCCUGCUUCAGAAGUGUGAAUCUGUGUAAAUGCAUAGGAUGUAGGUAAUACCAAGUUCAUUUAAGCUCCUUCUCCAGAAGAUACUAAAUGUGGAAGGUCCUGCAAAAGCUGGCGUCAUCCGCAAUUUGUCUUGGGUAUGCGACUGCAGAACUGUUUUACCCUUUUGGUUUACAUGAUUCAACAUCUACCCUUGUUAUUUAAUCAACAUAACAGAAGAAGAAGAAACUGUCUUAUUGCGGUAGUGUCACAGUCUUGGAUCUGACAUAGCAAUGAGACUGUUUAUUCUCCUCUAUUAUAGAGGUUUACUGUCCUUGCUACAUUAUUAUCAUGUUGAUUAAAAUCUCUGUGGAGCCGUUGGGCUGUUUGUCAUAUGCUUUAUACAACAUUGGGUUGCAUUUCUGGUUUUUCUUUUCC